AGUCGAGCGCGGGAAGCAAGCUGAUCCUCUUCGGAGGUGACGCUUGUGGAACGAGCGGCGGACGGGUGAGUAACACGUGGGCAACCUGCCUGUAAGACUGGGAUAACCCCGGGAAACCGGGGCUAAUACCGGAUAAUACUUUUCAUCACCUGAUGAGAAGUUGAAAGGUGGCUUUUAGCUACCACUUACAGAUGGGCCCGCGGCGCAUUAGCUAGUUGGUGAGGUAACGGCUCACCAAGGCAACGAUGCGUAGCCGACCUGAGAGGGUGAUCGGCCACACUGGGACUGAGACACGGCCCAGACUCCUACGGGAGGCAGCAGUAGGGAAUCUUCCGCAAUGGACGAAAGUCUGACGGAGCAACGCCGCGUGAGUGAUGAAGGUUUUCGGAUCGUAAAGCUCUGUUGUUAGGGAAGAACAAGUGCCGUUCGAAUAGGGCGGCACCUUGACGGUACCUAACCAGAAAGCCCCGGCUAACUACGUGCCAGCAGCCGCGGUAAUACGUAGGGGGCAAGCGUUGUCCGGAAUUAUUGGGCGUAAAGCGCGCGCAGGCGGUCCUUUAAGUCUGAUGUGAAAGCCCACGGCUCAACCGUGGAGGGUCAUUGGAAACUGGAGGACUUGAGUACAGAAGAGGAGAGUGGAAUUCCACGUGUAGCGGUGAAAUGCGUAGAGAUGUGGAGGAACACCAGUGGCGAAGGCGACUCUCUGGUCUGUAACUGACGCUGAGGCGCGAAAGCGUGGGGAGCGAACAGGAUUAGUACCCUGGUAGUCCACGCCGUAAACGAUGAGUGCUAGGUGUUAGGGGGUUUCCGCCCCUUAGUGCUGAAGUUAACGCAUUAAGCACUCCGCCUGGGGAGUACGGCCGCAAGGCUGAAACUCAAAAGAAUUGACGGGGGCCCGCACAAGCGGUGGAGCAUGUGGUUUAAUUCGACGCAACGCGAAGAACCUUACCAGGUCUUGACAUCCUCUGCAAUCGGUAGAGAUACCGAGUUCCCUUCGGGGACAGAGUGACAGGUGGUGCAUGGUUGUCGUCAGCUCGUGUCGUGAGAUGUUGGGUUAAGUCCCGCAACGAGCGCAACCCUUGAUCUUAGUUGCCAGCAUUUAGUUGGGCACUCUAAGGUGACUGCCGGUGACAAACCGGAGGAAGGUGGGGAUGACGUCAAAUCAUCAUGCCCCUUAUGACCUGGGCUACACACGUGCUACAAUGGAUGGAACAAAGGGAAGCAAAACCGCGAGGUCAAGCAAAUCCCAUAAAACCAUUCUCAGUUCGGAUUGCAGGCUGCAACUCGCCUGCAUGAAGCCGGAAUCGCUAGUAAUCGCGGAUCAGCAUGCCGCGGUGAAUACGUUCCCGGGCCUUGUACACACCGCCCGUCACACCACGAGAGUUGGUAACACCCGAAGUCGGUGAGGUAACCUUUUGGAGCCAGCC
Molecule: ribosomal RNA, 1427 nt
Filed under: Virgibacillus halodenitrificans
Lineage: Bacteria; Bacillati; Bacillota; Bacilli; Caryophanales; Bacillaceae
Description: bacterial SSU rRNA
Rfam family: Bacterial small subunit ribosomal RNA
Source: RNAcentral